This 1456-nucleotide ribosomal RNA is filed under the name Streptococcus thermophilus. Its description in RNAcentral is "bacterial SSU rRNA". It matches the Rfam family "Bacterial small subunit ribosomal RNA". Lineage: Bacteria; Bacillati; Bacillota; Bacilli; Lactobacillales; Streptococcaceae. The record is from RNAcentral.
GCCUAAUACAUGCAAGUAGAACGCUGAAGAGAGGAGCUUGCUCUUCUUGGAUGAGUUGCGAACGGGUGAGUAACGCGUAGGUAACCUGCCUUGUAGCGGGGGAUAACUAUUGGAAACGAUAGCUAAUACCGCAUAACAAUGGAUGACACAUGUCAUUUAUUUGAAAGGGGCAAUUGCUCCACUACAAGAUGGACCUGCGUUGUAUUAGCUAGUAGGUGAGGUAAUGGCUCACCUAGGCGACGAUACAUAGCCGACCUGAGAGGGUGAUCGGCCACACUGGGACUGAGACACGGCCCAGACUCCUACGGGAGGCAGCAGUAGGGAAUCUUCGGCAAUGGGGGCAACCCUGACCGAGCAACGCCGCGUGAGUGAAGAAGGUUUUCGGAUCGUAAAGCUCUGUUGUAAGUCAAGAACGGGUGUGAGAGUGGAAAGUUCACACUGUGACGGUAGCUUACCAGAAAGGGACGGCUAACUACGUGCCAGCAGCCGCGGUAAUACGUAGGUCCCGAGCGUUGUCCGGAUUUAUUGGGCGUAAAGCGAGCGCAGGCGGUUUGAUAAGUCUGAAGUUAAAGGCUGUGGCUCAACCAUAGUUCGCUUUGGAAACUGUCAAACUUGAGUGCAGAAGGGGAGAGUGGAAUUCCAUGUGUAGCGGUGAAAUGCGUAGAUAUAUGGAGGAACACCGGUGGCGAAAGCGGCUCUCUGGUCUGUAACUGACGCUGAGGCUCGAAAGCGUGGGGAGCGAACAGGAUUAGAUACCCUGGUAGUCCACGCCGUAAACGAUGAGUGCUAGGUGUUGGAUCCUUUCCGGGAUUCAGUGCCGCAGCUAACGCAUUAAGCACUCCGCCUGGGGAGUACGACCGCAAGGUUGAAACUCAAAGGAAUUGACGGGGGCCCGCACAAGCGGUGGAGCAUGUGGUUUAAUUCGAAGCAACGCGAAGAACCUUACCAGGUCUUGACAUCCCGAUGCUAUUUCUAGAGAUAGAAAGUUACUUCGGUACAUCGGUGACAGGUGGUGCAUGGUUGUCGUCAGCUCGUGUCGUGAGAUGUUGGGUUAAGUCCCGCAACGAGCGCAACCCCUAUUGUUAGUUGCCAUCAUUCAGUUGGGCACUCUAGCGAGACUGCCGGUAAUAAACCGGAGGAAGGUGGGGAUGACGUCAAAUCAUCAUGCCCCUUAUGACCUGGGCUACACACGUGCUACAAUGGUUGGUACAACGAGUUGCGAGUCGGUGACGGCGAGCUAAUCUCUUAAAGCCAAUCUCAGUUCGGAUUGUAGGCUGCAACUCGCCUACAUGAAGUCGGAAUCGCUAGUAAUCGCGGAUCAGCACGCCGCGGUGAAUACGUUCCCGGGCCUUGUACACACCGCCCGUCACACCACGAGAGUUUGUAACACCCGAAGUCGGUGAGGUAACCUUUUGGAGCCAGCCGCCUAAGGUGGGACAGAUGAUUGGGGUGAAGU